This 380-nucleotide ribosomal RNA is filed under the name uncultured bacterium. Its description in RNAcentral is "bacterial SSU rRNA". It matches the Rfam family "Bacterial small subunit ribosomal RNA", at positions 30 to 410 of the family's 1533-position model. The record is from RNAcentral.
AUUGAACGCUGGCGGCAUGCCUUACACAUGCAAGUCGAACGGCAGCACGGGCUUCGGUCUGGUGGCGAGUGGCGAACGGGUGAGUAAAGUAUCGGAACGUGCCCUAGAGUGGGGGAUAACUAUCCGAAAGGAUAGCUAAUACCGCAUAUUCUAUGCGUAGGAAAGCGGGGGAUCUUCGGACCUCGCGCUCUAGGAGCGGCCGAUAUCAGAUUAGCUAGUUGGUGGGGUAAAGGCCUACCAAGGCGACGAUCUGUAGCGGGUCUGAGAGGAUGAUCCGCCACACUGGGACUGAGACACGGCCCAGACUCCUACGGGAGGCAGCAGUGGGGAAUUUUGGACAAUGGGCGCAAGCCUGAUCCAGCCAUGCCGCGUGAGUGAAG